Molecule: long non-coding RNA, 271 nt
Filed under: Monodelphis domestica (gray short-tailed opossum)
Lineage: Eukaryota; Metazoa; Chordata; Mammalia; Didelphimorphia; Didelphidae
Description: lncRNA (ENSMODG00000038568.1)
Source: RNAcentral
AUCAAUCUAUUUCCUAACCCCAUUCCUCCCUCACUCCCUCCCUUAACCAACCUCUCCCUUUUGCCUCCCCCACCUCCCAAAUUUUCUUAAAGCCUAUGAUUCUCUCCUCCCUCCUGAGUGAACUAUAAAGAUGCUACAGUUGCUUUCUCAGUCAGGGGGUUUAUUGGGAUAACAGGAUGGGAAACUGAGAGAUGUGGGGAACCAGGACAAUAGCCAAACUUCAGUACUUGUCUGGCCGGCCAGCACUCUAUCCAUUGAACAAUCCAGUAGA